RNAcentral lists this ribosomal RNA (440 nucleotides) under uncultured bacterium. Its description in RNAcentral is "bacterial SSU rRNA". It matches the Rfam family "Bacterial small subunit ribosomal RNA", at positions 338 to 795 of the family's 1533-position model. The record is from RNAcentral.
CCUACGGGAGGCUGCAGUGGGGAAUAUUGCACAAUGGGGGAAACCCUGAUGCAGCAACGCCGCGUGAGCGAAGAAGGCCUUCGGGUCGUAAAGCUCUGUCCUAAGGGAAGAAGCAUGACGGUACCUUAGGAGGAAGCCCCGGCUAACUACGUGCCGGCAGCCGCGGUAAUACGUAGGGGGCGAGCGUUAUCCGGAAUCACUGGGCGUAAAGGGUGCGUAGGCGGCCAAUUAAGCCAGGGGUGAAAGGCUACGGCUCAACCGUAGUAAGCCCUUGGAACUGAAUGGCUUGAGUGCAGGAGGGGAGAGUGGAAUUCCUAGGGGAGCGGUGAAAUGGGUAGAUAUUAGGGGGAACACCAGGGGGGAGGGGGACUCUUUGGACUGAAACUGACGCUGGGGCACGAAAGCGUGGGGAGCAAAAAGGAUUAGAUCCCCGGGUAGUC